RNAcentral lists this long non-coding RNA (1431 nucleotides) under Homo sapiens (human). RNAcentral describes it as "HSALNT0260276". Lineage: Eukaryota; Metazoa; Chordata; Mammalia; Primates; Hominidae. The record is from RNAcentral.
CAGCCUCUCAGAGGGAAAGAGCCCUGGACUGGGACACAGUGGAAGCUCAUUCUCCUGGUGACCCGGGGACAUUGCCUCAUUAUGGAUCCUGGCAGGGGUGGCUACUCUGGCUGAUUUUGGUGCAUUUUUCAUUUCCCAGAAGGCAGGACAGGCCUCAGUGUGAGCAGGAAGGAAAUGGAACCGUCAAUCUUGUUAGAGAGGGUGUCUGGGUGAAAAGCUUGGUGAAAGAUUUUAAGGACUUCCCAUUGGCUGAAGGCUGGCAAAUGGAGUUUGCUAUCCUCUGACUGCAGCCAUUCUGAGGACUGGAAAGAAUACCCUGAGAAGGGGCCUAUUUUAUUUCUGCAGGAAGGCUUUCACAAGCUCCAAAAGAUUCACCGUGCAGAACUGGACGUUCUAGAGAAAGACCACGCCUCCUCCUGCAGGUUUUCACAAGCUCCAAAAGAUUCACUGUGCAGAACUGGAGGUUCUAGAGAAAGACCACGCCUCCUCCUGCAGUAUUUUGUCAUGGCAGCCCUAGCAAACUACUACAGGGACUGUGGGGGUUAGGAUGACACCAAGCAUCAAAUGCCACUCCCUGUUCCAACACUGAGACCAUUCCACAGCCCCUGAAUGACAAGACAGGCCUUCAAGCUCAAGACUACUUGGCUAGGUGAAAAGCUUGGUGAAGGAUUUUAAGGACUUCCCAUUGGCUGAAGGCUGGCAAAUGGAGUUUGCCAUCCUCUGACUACAGCCAUUCUGAGGACUGGAAAGGAUACCCUGAGAAGUGGCCUAUUUUAUUUCUGCUGGAAGCUGGAUGCUUCCUGCCCUCGAAAAUCAGACUCCAAGUUCUUCAACUCUGGGACUCGGACCUUUGAACACAGACUGAAGGCUGCACUGUCGGCUUCCUUACUUUUGAGGCUUUGGGACUUGGACUGACUUCCUGGAUCCUCAGCUUGCAGAUGGCCUAUUGUGGGACCUCACCUUGUGAUCACGUGAGUCAGUGCUCCUUAACAAACUCCCCUUUGUAUAUACAUCUAUCCUACUACUUCUGUCACUCUAGAGAACCUUGACGAAUACGGUUAUGCAUUUUUAUUAAUGUAAAUUAUGCCUUAAUUAACAAUAAAUACCUUCUCAACCUCCAAAAAGAGACUUUCUGUCUGAAACUUGAGAAUAAGUCUAAAGUUUUCAUUUAAUAAUGAAUUUGUAAAAGACAGGAAAAUUGAUUUUGGCAUUAAUUUGUUCAACAAAUAUCUGUUGAGCAUGUCCUAUGUGGCAGAGGCUGAGUGUGGGGUGUGGAGUGGGUGAAUGUAAGGAACAUAUAGUUCCUGGCUCCCUAGAGCUUAUUAUGGUCUAGGGGUUGGAGAGAAUUGGUACAUUGGGAUUUUAAAGGGGGUGCCAAAAGUGGUGAUGACAAAGUUCAGGGAAGAACAACUGGAGUGGAGGGAGGGCAUC